RNAcentral lists this ribosomal RNA (460 nucleotides) under uncultured eukaryote. RNAcentral's name for it is "partial 18S ribosomal RNA". It matches the Rfam family "Eukaryotic small subunit ribosomal RNA", at positions 592 to 975 of the family's 1831-position model. The record is from RNAcentral.
CAGAAGCGUAUAUUAAUGUUGUUGCAGUUAAAACGCUCGUAGUUGGAUCUUGGAGGUUUAGGUAAGAGCUCUGUCCGCCUGAAGUCGAGUACGGACUCUCCUCCUCUGUAUUUGGUAACAACGCACGCGGGCCCUUAAUUGGGUGUCGCGUGAGCGGGAGGGUGUAAAAGCCCGAGCGCGAGGGGAGGACGGGCGGUGAAAGCCGUAGCCGGUCGACCAGCGUUUUGCCUCAUUUACUUUGAAAAAAAUAGAGUGCUCAAAGCAGACCUUAGGGUCAUUGAAUAAUUCAGCAUGGGAUAAUAGAACACGAGAUUGAAUUCUUUUUGUUGGUAACAAAGAAUUUGAACUAAUGAUUAAAAGGGAUCGUCGGGGUGGUUUGUAUUGAAAAGCUAGAGGUGAAAUUCUUGGAUUUUUUCAAGACAAACAACUGCGAAAGCAAUCUACUAGGAGAUUCCCAUUA